This 480-nucleotide ribosomal RNA is filed under the name uncultured bacterium. RNAcentral's name for it is "partial 16S ribosomal RNA". It matches the Rfam family "Bacterial small subunit ribosomal RNA", at positions 28 to 507 of the family's 1533-position model. The record is from RNAcentral.
GACGAACGCUGGCGGCGUGCUUAACACAUGCAAGUCGAACGAUGAAGAAAAGAAUCGAAGCUUCGGCAGAAAUUCAUUUCGGAUUAGUGGCAGACGGGUGAGUAACGCGUGAGCAACCUACCUCUUACAAAGGGAUAGCCUCGGGAAACCGGGAUUAAUACCAUAUAACAUUGUGACGAAGCAUUUCGAUGCAAUCAAAGCUACGGCGGUAAGAGAUGAGCUCGCGUCCCAUUAACCGGAUGGUGAGGUAACGGCUCACCAUAGUGACGAUGGGUAACCGGCCUGAGAGGGUGAACGGUCACACUGGAACUGAGACACGGUCCAGACUCCUACGGGAGGCAGCAGUGGGGAAUAUUGCACAAUGGAGGGAACUCUGAUGCAGCGACGCCGCGUGAGUGAUGAAGGAAUUCGUUUCGUAAAACUCUGUUCUAUGGGAAGAAAAGGACUGUACCAUAGGAGAAAGCUCCGGCUAAAUACGUG